Molecule: non-coding RNA, 22 nt
Filed under: Arabidopsis thaliana (thale cress)
Lineage: Eukaryota; Viridiplantae; Streptophyta; Magnoliopsida; Brassicales; Brassicaceae
Source: RNAcentral
UAACUCAGAUGGCCGUGUUGAU